AUGUAGCAAUACAGGGUGAUGGACUGCCUUUUGCAUAAUGAGCCUGCGAGUUGUGGUGUCUGGCAAGGUUAAGCAAACGCGAAGCCGUAGCGAAAGCGAGUCUGAAUAGGGCGCUUAGUCAGAUGCUGCAGACCCGAAACGAAGUGAUCUAUCCAUGAGCAAGUUGAAGCUAGUGUAAGAACUAGUGGAGGACUGAACCCAUAGGCGUUGAAAAGCCCCGGGAUGACUUGUGGAUAGGGGUGAAAGGCCAAUCAAACUUCGUGAUAGCUGGUUCUCUCCGAAAUAUAUUUAGGUAUAGCGUUGUGUCGUAAUAUAAGGGGGUAGAGCACUGAAUGGGCUAGGGCAUACACCAAUGUACCAAACCCUAUCAAACUCCGAAUACCUUAUAUGUAAUCACAGCAGUCAGGCGGCGAGUGAUAAAAUCCGUCGUCAAGAGGGAAACAACCCAGACUACCAGCUAAGGUCCCUAAAUCUUACUUAAGUGGAAAACGAUGUGAAGUUACUUAAACAACCAGGAGGUUGGCUUAGAAGCAGCCAUCCUUUAAAGAAAGCGUAAUAGCUCACUGGUCUAGUGAUUUUGCGCGGAAAAUAUAACGGGGCUAAAGUAAGUACCGAAGCUGUAGACUUGCACACAACUUAGAUUAUUUAAGUUUAGAAUAUGAGAAACUAAGUUAUAUGUUUAGUUAUAUUUUUACUGAUUUUUAUAGAGUAAAGAUAGAAAUAAAACUUAGUAAAAUCAGUAAAAAUAUUCUUAGACUAAAGUUAAGUAGUUUAAGUUGUGUGCAAGUGGUAGGAGAGCGUUCUAUUUGCGUCGAAGGUAUACCGGUAAGGAGUGCUGGAGCGAAUAGAAGUGAGCAUGCAGGCAUGAGUAGCGAUAAUUAAUGUGAGAAUCAUUAACGCCGUAAACCCAAGGUUUCCUACGCGAUGCUCGUCAUCGUAGGGUUAGUCGGGUCCUAAGUCGAGUCCGAAAGGGGUAGACGAUGGCAAAUUGGUUAAUAUUCCAAUACCAACAUUAGUGUGCGAUGGAAGGACGCUUAGGGCUAAGGGGGCUAGCGGAUGGAAGUGCUAGUCUAAGGUCGUAGGAGGUUAUACAGGCAAAUCCGUAUAACAAUACUCCGAGAACUGAAAGGCUUUUUGAAGUCUUCGGAUGGAUAGAAGAACCCCUGAUGCCGUCGAGCCAAGAAAAGUUUCUAAGUUUAGCUAAUGUUGCCCGUACCGUAAACCGACACAGGUGGGUGGGAUGAGUAUUCUAAGGCGCGUGGAAGAACUCUCUUUAAGGAACUCUGCAAAAUAGCACCGUAUCUUCGGUAUAAGGUGUGGUUAGCUUUGUAUUAGGAUUUACUCCGAAAGCAAGGAAACUUACAACAAAGAGUCCCUCCCGACUGUUUACCAAAAACACAGCACUCUGCUAACUCGUAAGAGGAUGUAUAGGGUGUGACGCCUGCCCGGUGCUCGAAGGUUAAUUGAUGGGGUUAGCAUUAGCGAAGCUCUUGAUCGAAGCCCGAGUAAACGGCGGCCGUAACUAUAACGGUCCUAAGGUAGCGAAAUUCCUUGUCGGUUAAAUACCGACCUGCAUGAAUGGCGUAACGAGAUGGGAGCUGUCUCAAAGAGGGAUCCAGUGAAAUUGUAGUGGAGGUGAAAAUUCCUCCUACCCGCGGCAAGACGGAAAGACCCCGUGGACCUUUACUACAGCUUGACACUGCUACUUGGAUAAGAAUGUGCAGGAUAGGUGGGAGGCUUUGAGUAUAUGACGCCAGUUGUAUAUGAGCCAUUGUUGAGAUACCACUCUUUCUUAUUUGGGUAGCUAACCAGCUUGAGUUAUCCUCAAGUGGGACAAUGUCUGGUGGGUAGUUUGACUGGGGCGGUCGCCUCCCAAAUAAUAACGGAGGCUUACAAAGGUUGGCUCAGAACGGUUGGAAAUCGUUCGUAGAGUAUAAAGGUAUAAGCCAGCUUAACUGCAAGACAUACAAGUCAAGCAGAGACGAAAGUCGGUCUUAGUGAUCCGGUGGUUCUGUGUGGAAGGGCCAUCGCUCAAAGGAUAAAAGGUACCCCGGGGAUAACAGGCUGAUCUCCCCCAAGAGCUCACAUCGACGGGGAGGUUUGGCACCUCGAUGUCGGCUCAUCGCAUCCUGGGGCUGGAGCAGGUCCCAAGGGUAUGGCUGUUCGCCAUUUAAAGCGGUACGCGAGCUGGGUUCAGAACGUCGUGAGACAGUUCGGUCCCUAUCUGCCGUGGGCGUAAGAAGAUUGAAGAGAUUUGACCCUAGUACGAGAGGACCGGGUUGAACAAACCACUGGUGUAGCUGUUGUUCUGCCAAGAGCAUCGCAGCGUAGCUAAGUUUGGAAAGGAUAAACGCUGAAAGCAUCUAAGCGUGAAGCCAACUCUAAGAUGAAUCUUCUCUAAGCUCUCUAGAAGACUACUAGUUUGAUAGGCUGGGUGUGUAAUGGAUGAAAGUCCUUUAGCUGACCAGUACUAAUAGAGCGUUUGGCUUAUCUUUAAUAAAGCAU
Molecule: ribosomal RNA, 2505 nt
Filed under: Campylobacter jejuni
Lineage: Bacteria; Pseudomonadati; Campylobacterota; Epsilonproteobacteria; Campylobacterales; Campylobacteraceae
Description: partial 23S ribosomal RNA
Rfam family: Bacterial large subunit ribosomal RNA
Source: RNAcentral